This 361-nucleotide long non-coding RNA is filed under the name Coturnix japonica (Japanese quail). Its description in RNAcentral is "lncRNA (ENSCJPG00005014832.1)". Lineage: Eukaryota; Metazoa; Chordata; Aves; Galliformes; Phasianidae. The record is from RNAcentral.
AUGGUGACAAGGAUCAUGGAGGAGCUCCUCUCCUGCUACAGAGCAGCUGCUGCACCACCCAUUCUGCUGCAGUCUCAUCACUGGUUGCAAAGCUGGACACCAUUCACCCACCAGGUCCUUGAGUGGUGGAUUCAGCAUUUGACCCUUUGUUCAGCCCAGAGCUGUGUUGGAUGGAAGUAGUGUGGGAUUCUCUACCAUGAGUUCCUCUUCCCCACCAGGCGACUUCUGAAUUCUCUUUGCUACCCCUCCUUUGGGUACCAGCCUGCUCCAUCUAUUGCUCCCUAUAGGCGAUGGAAGAAAGAUGCCCAGCAAACUUGCAGGGCGAUGGGGUUUCAGCAGCAGAAGGGAAAGUAGAAUGCAU